This 257-nucleotide ribosomal RNA is filed under the name uncultured bacterium. RNAcentral's name for it is "partial 16S ribosomal RNA". It matches the Rfam family "Bacterial small subunit ribosomal RNA", at positions 337 to 591 of the family's 1533-position model. The record is from RNAcentral.
UCCUACGGGACGCAGCAGUGAGGAAUAUUGGUCAAUGGGCGAGAGCCUGAACCAGCCAAGUCGCGUGAGGGAUGACUGCCCUAUGGGUUGUAAACCUCUUUUGUAUGGGGGGAAUAAGCUUUACGAGUAGAGUGAUGACAGUACCAUACGAAUAAGCAUCGGCUAACUCCGUGCCAGCAGCCGCGGUAAUACGGAGGAUGCGAGCGUUAUCCGGAUUUAUUGGGCGUAAAGCGAGCGCGGGUGGUUUAUUAAGUCUG